This 486-nucleotide ribosomal RNA is filed under the name uncultured bacterium. RNAcentral describes it as "partial 16S ribosomal RNA". It matches the Rfam family "Bacterial small subunit ribosomal RNA", at positions 30 to 507 of the family's 1533-position model. The record is from RNAcentral.
AUUGAACGCUGGCGGCAUGCCUUACACAUGCAAGUCGAACGGCAGCACGGGUGCUUGCACCUGGGGGCGAGUGGCGAACGGGUGAGUAAUACAUCGGAACAUGUCCUGUAGUGGGGGAUAGCCCGGCGAAAGCCGGAUUAAUACCGCAUACGAUCUACGGAUGAAAGCGGGGGACCUUCGGGCCUCGCGCUAUAGGGUUGGCCGAUGGCUGAUUAGCUAGUUGGUGGGGUAAAGGCCUACCAAGGCGACGAUCAGUAGCUGGUCUGAGAGGACGACCAGCCACACUGGGACUGAGACACGGCCCAGACUCCUACGGGAGGCAGCAGUGGGGAAUUUUGGACAAUGGGCGAAAGCCUGAUCCAGCAAUGCCGCGUGUGUGAAGAAGGCCUUCGGGUUGUAAAGCACUUUUGUCCGGAAAGAAAUCCUUGGCCCUAAUACGGUCGGGGGAUGACGGUACCGGAAGAAUAAGCACCGGCUAACUACGUG